This 701-nucleotide ribosomal RNA is filed under the name uncultured bacterium. Its description in RNAcentral is "bacterial SSU rRNA". It matches the Rfam family "Bacterial small subunit ribosomal RNA", at positions 801 to 1502 of the family's 1533-position model. The record is from RNAcentral.
CGUAAACGAAGUCUNCUUGGAAGUUGUGGCCUUGAGCCGUGGCUUUCGGAGCUAACGCGUUAAGUAGACCGCCUGGGGAGUACGGUCGCAAGAUUAAAACUCAAAUGAAUUGACGGGGGCCCGCACAAGCGGUGGAGCAUGUGGUUUAAUUCGAUGCAACGCGAAGAACCUUACCUACUCUUGACAUCUACAGAAGCCAGCGGAGACGCAGGUGUGCCUUCGGGAACUGUAAGACAGGUGCUGCAUGGCUGUCGUCAGCUCGUGUUGUGAAAUGUUGGGUUAAGUCCCGCAACGAGCGCAAUCCUUAUCCUUGUUUGCCAGCACUUCGGGUGGGAACUCCAGGGAGACUGCCGGUGAUAAACCGGAGGAAGGUGGGGACGACGUCAAGUCAUCAUGGCCCUUACGAGUAGGGCUACACACGUGCUACAAUGGCGCAUACAGAGGGCGGCCAACUUGCGAAAGUGAGCGAAUCCCAAAAAGUGCGUCGUAGUCCGGAUUGGAGUCUGCAACUCGACUCCAUGAAGUCGGAAUCGCUAGUAAUCGUGGAUCAGAAUGCCACGGUGAAUACGUUCCCGGGCCUUGUACACACCGCCCGUCACACCAUGGGAGUGGGCUGCAAAAGAAGUGGGUAGUUUAACCUUCGGGAGGACGCUCACCACUGUGUGGUUCAUGACUGGGGUGAAGUCGUAACAAGGGAACCG